This 1104-nucleotide long non-coding RNA is filed under the name Gallus gallus (chicken). RNAcentral describes it as "lncRNA (ENSGALG00010020948.1)". The record is from RNAcentral. Lineage: Eukaryota; Metazoa; Chordata; Aves; Galliformes; Phasianidae.
AUUGCUGGAGCUCCCCUGUGUCCCUGAGGCCUUCUGAAGGAAAUCUUGGGGUCACAUUGGCACUUAUAAGGCUACAAAUCCCCAUUUCAUCUUCUUUCCAUCUGCAGCUCCGUGUCACGGUGUCUGUGAGUUAUUACAGAUGCUAAGCACCGAGUGCUUCCUGACAGCUCAACACUUCAGCCCUCCUGGCCAUCAAAAUCACAACGUUGCUUCUGACUGAGCUUAAUCAUCUCGUAAGAAAUGAUGGAGACAAAGGAGGAAAAGAAAGAACGAAAGAGAAGCAUAAAAACCACUCACGUAGCAGCACACCUCUGCUUCUCCCCUUCUCCUUUCAUCUCUUGGCUGAUCCGUUUUGAUCGCUCUGAGCCUUUGUUGGAGUUUCUCUCAAUCCCAUUCGCUGGGAUUCCAUUGAAAUCAGGGCCCACUCGUGUUGCAGCUGCUGGUGGGGAGGAGGGAUGCUGUGCUCUGCCCCAAGGCAGUGCAAAAUCUGCUCCAUGCAUCAAAUGCAUUCAUUUUUGCCAGAAAAAUCUGCUCCAGGAGGAGGGAUUCAGCAGAUCGAGCAAUUGUUUUUGCCCUUUAUGUGUUGGUCUGGUGUUUCUAAUGCAGAUGCAUCUUUGCUUCCUUUUGGGCUUUUUCCCCCUCCUCCUCCUAAAUAAUAGCAUGGUUGCAUGCAACCAAAUGUAAAGGAAAGCUCAGAUUUACGUACGAGGUCUUCGUCUCAAACAUCUCCUCAACCACUUUCCAACACUGAGUGUGAAAAAGCAAACUACCAAAAGGCACCAUUUUGGACUUGUCCGGACAGACUGACAUCCUUCUGUCCCAAACUUUUGUUGCAGGUGUGUUCUGUUUCUCACCGAUUUAUCCUAAUUGUUAUGAUCAGCCCUUCAGCCAAAAUGAUGCCAAAACCUCAGUUUCCCUGUGGAAAAAUUAACAAACCACCCUCAUGGCUCAUGCAGCUUGUUUAUUUAACUGCAGCAGACGUUGCCUGCAGCUGCUAAACGAGAUGUAAUGAAAGCUUGGGGUCCUCUCCCAGGCACUGGCUUUGCUGUGCCCCGGGUGUAGGGGUGACUGUGGUUGGAUGGAUGGCAGUUGAGUGCAUUGCAU